AACUUUGACUUACGUGCCAUUUAUAGUGAAGUCAGGUAAUUAAUCUAAAGUAGUUAACAGGAAAAUUGGCGGUGAAAGAGAUGGACGCAUAUGGUGCAGCGGGUGCAAUCGCCGAAGAGGUGCUGACAGCAAUCCGUACGGUGGUCGCAUUCGGCGGCCAAGAGAAGGAGAUCGCGAGAUACUCCGAUCGCUUAACGUUCGCCCGAAAUAACAACAUCAAGCGAUCGCUGCUGAGCGGUAUUGGUUUCGGACUGUUGUAGUUCUUCAUCUACGCCAGUUACGCGUUGGCGUUUUGGUACGGUAUCAAGCUAAUUUUGGAGGAGAAGUCGCUUCCGCCGCAGGAGCGAGUCUACGAUCCCGGCAACAUGGUCACGGUGUUCUUCGCUGUAAUGCAAGGGAGUGUUAAUUUCGGCAUGUCGUCACCGUACAUCGAACAGUUCGGCAUAUCCAAGGGGGCGGCUACCAAAAUUUUUGCAGUCAUCGAUAGUGCCCCUGUUAUAAACGCCGCCAAGAACGUGGGGCUCUAACCGAAGGAAGUUAAGGGAGACUUUAGCUUUCGGAAGGUUCACUUCGAGUACCCUUCGCGAAAGGGCGUCAAGGUCUUGAAAGGUAUCGACAUUGAGAUUAAGUCUGGGGAGACGGUUGCGCUGGUCGGCAGUUCCGGGUGCGGUAAAUCGACUUGCAUUCAGCUGUUACAGCGGUUUUAUGAUCCAACAUC
This is a long non-coding RNA of Photinus pyralis (common eastern firefly), 718 nucleotides long. RefSeq lists it as uncharacterized. Lineage: Eukaryota; Metazoa; Arthropoda; Insecta; Coleoptera; Lampyridae. The record is from RefSeq and is a predicted model, not a curated record. The transcript is spliced from 3 exons.